GGCUAGGUGAUGCCCCAAGGGGGCCUCCUCUGGGAGGUCCCUUGGAGGCCUGCGAAGAAAGAGAGAUGGGCCAGACCCUGGGAUCAAAGAGACAGAGCUGAACCUCGGGGCAGCAGAGCUUGCCUGCCACUUGCCGGCUGUGGAGGCUUGGAUCCACCGUGUGGAAAGCCCUGAGAACGCCAUGGCUAGAAUCCAUCUCCCGGGAGCACCCAGGCUCCAGAGGAAGAAGCUGGACUCCACCGAUGUUCAUCCCCUAGAUGCGCUGUAACAAGGCUCCCAGAAGGUCAAGGCCAGAACUCCGGGCCUGGGCUGCCUCGCUCUGACCACAUUUCCAAGCACAAAUUGCACCCUGACCCCGUCGUCCCCAAACCCUACAUGCUGGGAGAUGGAGUCACGUCAAGGCCAUGAUAUGUGGACCAGCCUUUCCAUCACUGAACCUCCAAUGGAGGACCGGUCCCCCCUUUUUAAAUAAUUAAAUCAAUUUCCAAACUACCUUUGAAAAUGAAAGUGA
Molecule: long non-coding RNA, 511 nt
Organism: Ovis aries (sheep)
Lineage: Eukaryota; Metazoa; Chordata; Mammalia; Artiodactyla; Bovidae
Source: Ensembl